Molecule: non-coding RNA, 30 nt
Filed under: Homo sapiens (human)
Lineage: Eukaryota; Metazoa; Chordata; Mammalia; Primates; Hominidae
Source: RNAcentral
ACCAGAGUGAGAACUUGAAGGGGUGGCCUU